This 494-nucleotide ribosomal RNA is filed under the name uncultured bacterium. Its description in RNAcentral is "partial 16S ribosomal RNA". It matches the Rfam family "Bacterial small subunit ribosomal RNA", at positions 28 to 507 of the family's 1533-position model. The record is from RNAcentral.
GACGAACGCUGGCGGCGUGCUUAACACAUGCCAGUCGAACGGAAAGGCCUGCUUUCCCUUGUGGAUUGCGGGUACUCGAGUGGCGAACGGGUGAGUAACACGUGAGUGAUCUGCCCCCAACUUGGGUAUAAGCCUGGGAAACUGGGUCUAAUUCCCGAUAGGACUGCAGGGUGGUGCCUGUGGUGAAAAACGAUUUUCUAGUGGUUGGGGAUGAGCUCGCGGCCUAUCAGCUUGUUGGUGGGGUAAUGGCCUACCAAGGCGGCGACGGGUAGCCGGCCUGGGAGGGUGGACGGCCACAUUGGGACUGAGAUACGGCCCAGACUCCUACGGGAGGCAGCAGUGGGGAAGAUUGCACAAUGGGCGGAAGCCUGAUGCAGCGACGCCGCGUGGGGGAUGACGGCCUUCGGGUUGUAAACUCCUUUCGACCGCGAGGAAGCCACCUGGUUGGAAGGGUGGUGACGGUAGUGGUAGAAGAAGCACCGGCUAACUACGUG